Molecule: ribosomal RNA, 251 nt
Filed under: uncultured bacterium
Lineage: Bacteria
Description: partial 16S ribosomal RNA
Rfam family: Bacterial small subunit ribosomal RNA
Source: RNAcentral
ACGUAGGGGGCGAGCGUUAUCCGGAUUCAUUGGGCGUAAAGCGCGCGUAGGCGGCCCGGCAGGCCGGGGGUCGAAGCGGGGGGCUCAACCCCCCGAAGCCCCCGGAACCUCCGCGGCUUGGGUCCGGUAGGGGAGGGUGGAACACCCGGUGUAGCGGUGGAAUGCGCAGAUAUCGGGUGGAACACUGGUGGCGAAGGCGGCCCUCUGGGCCGAGACCGACGCUGAGGCGCGAAAGCUGGGGGAGCGAACAG